UACGAAGGGGGCUAGCGUUGCUCGGAAUCACUGGGCGUAAAGCGCACGUAGGCGGCUUGUUAAGUCAGGGGUGAAAUCCUGGAGCUCAACUCCAGAACUGCCUUUGAUACUGGCGAGCUUGAGUUCGGGAGAGGUGAGUGGAACUGCGAGUGUAGAGGUGAAAUUCGUAGAUAUUCGCAAGAACACCAGUGGCGAAGGCGGCUCACUGGCCCGAUACUGACGCUGAGGUGCGAAAAGCGUGGGGGAGCAAACAGG
Molecule: ribosomal RNA, 255 nt
Filed under: uncultured bacterium
Lineage: Bacteria
Description: partial 16S ribosomal RNA
Rfam family: Bacterial small subunit ribosomal RNA
Source: RNAcentral